Molecule: long non-coding RNA, 235 nt
Filed under: Panax ginseng (ginseng)
Lineage: Eukaryota; Viridiplantae; Streptophyta; Magnoliopsida; Apiales; Araliaceae
Description: long non-coding RNA (PGIN_LNC013399)
Source: RNAcentral
UUUUCUGUCAACUGUGUCUUCAAUACUCACUAACAGACUUCUCUGACUUUUGAUCGAACACUUGUUGUGUUACUCCACUGACUGAGAUGCUGAGAAAUUCGGAUAUGGACAGGUUGGGUGAUGAUGAAGGGUUAAGUUAAUGUUUCGACAGGAAUGGAGUAGGGGGUAUGACUGUUAGUAGCCCUAACCUCUUGUUGAACUUCUCUAGAACAGGUGGUGUGAGGACCGAUUCCCU